AUUGAACGCUGGCGGCAGGCUUAACACAUGCAAGUCGAACGAGAGGCGGACGGGUGAGUAAUGUCUGGGAAACUGCCUGAUGGAGGGGGAUAACUACUGGAAACGGUAGCUAAUACCGCAUAACAUCAGAUGUGCCCAGAUGGGAUUAGCUAGUAGGUGGGGUAAAGGCUCCCCGAGGCGACGAUCCCUAGCUGGUCUGAGCGGAUGACCAGCCAAACUGGAACUGAGACACGGUCCAGACUCCUACGGGAGGCAGCAGUGGGGAAUAGUGCACAAUGGGCGCAAGCCUGAUGCAGCCAUGCCGCGUGUAUGAAGAAGGCCUUCGGGUUGUAAAGUACUUUCAGCGAGGAGGCGUUACCCGCAGAAGAAGCACCGGCUAACUCCGUGCCAGCAGCCGCGGUAAUUC
This 406-nucleotide ribosomal RNA is filed under the name uncultured bacterium. RNAcentral's name for it is "partial 16S ribosomal RNA". It matches the Rfam family "Bacterial small subunit ribosomal RNA", at positions 30 to 526 of the family's 1533-position model. The record is from RNAcentral.